Long non-coding RNA from Lytechinus variegatus (green sea urchin), 1869 nucleotides. RefSeq lists it as uncharacterized. The transcript is spliced from 26 exons. NCBI's taxonomy places the organism in Eukaryota, Metazoa, Echinodermata, Echinoidea, Temnopleuroida, Toxopneustidae. The record is from RefSeq and is a predicted model, not a curated record.
GAUCUUGGUCCAAUAUCACAGCUGCAAAUCCUGAUGAAGUUGAUUUCAACUUAUUUUGGCUAGCGAUGCAAGUAUUGCGAAAUGAGUGGGACUUCGUCAAGGUCCUUUUGAAUGUUCAAGAGUUGAUGCAGGUGAUGAAAACAUGCACCAGAUUCAUGAAAAUCAAUGAUUGUUUCUGAAAAAGUUGAUAGACCUGAUGCAUCAACAGAAGCAGUAAUGUGAUUAAAAGAUAUUUUUAUUAAGGUUGUAGGUUGUGUUUUUUUACAUAUAAAACAUUUUAAAAGUAAAAUUCAAUCUUUUUUUUUUACCAUUGAAGCAUUAUUUUUGCUAAAAAUAAGGAUGUGCUCCCUCUUUGAUUAAAAUCAUUUAAAAGACUUGUUAAAUCAUCUAUGUAGGCCCAUUUAUUAUGUCAUAUAUGUUGGACCUAAAAAAAAAUUAGAAGACAUCUUAAUAAGAAAUGUUCUUUCUGCCCUGAAUUCACAGAUUACCUCUGCAGUUAAACAGUGAUCUUCCACAUUCUUACAACAUAUUGAAAUAUAAACAUAUUUGGCUCAGUUAUGCUAGUGACACAUGUGCGAGAUACCAUGGCUCACAGUUACCCUAGCGGCACAUGUACAGGAUACCGUAUGGGAGCUCCACUACAUGGCAUGCAUUGCAGGUACAUGAUAUCUUCAAUUAUUUCUUGGAUCCCACGACGGAGAAAUGAUCUUGGAUGAAGAGGAUACCACGACAGAGAAAUAGGAUCAUGGAUGAAUAGGAUACCACGACAGAGAAAUAGGAUCAUGGAUGAAUAGGAUACCACGACAGAGAAAUAGGAUCAUGGAUGAAUAGGGAAAAUCGCAACAAUCCUGGCAAGAUCCUGAUGUGCAUGACUGAAACACAAGUUCGCCUCUGAUCUCUUGUCAAGGCAAGUUGGAAAUAAAAUGGAACAUCGUCACGCUGUUGAAGGCAUUCUGUUUCAGGUGCUGUUAUUUGGAAGAAAGCAGGACUCAGUGCAUCAAAUAUUGUACAUGUAGAUGAUCUCUCCCUCCUGAUGCUGUUUUGAAAAGAUAUUUUCACAUCCUAACAACAGUAUUAUCCAUGCUAAACAGAACAAAUUGUUUGACCAAGGGUAUCUUCAAGUAGCAUGGUCGUUUCAAAAGAUUGAUGUUAUUUGGCGAUGCUACAAACUGGGUAUUGUCCAGAGCUGCAGCAAACUUUUAAUGUAAUAUGAUGUUGGCUUAUCGUCCAGAGCUACUGCCAACUUUUGGUGCACAAAAUGGAACACAUCUCUCUUGAAAGGUCUUAUUUUUCACCAGAAUUGAGAACAAGUGAUCAAAGAUAUAGAAGACCCAAGCCUGAGCUGUGAGAUGACUUCAUUGUGGCCUUCAGCCAAAAUUGAGAUACUCCAUUCACAUGCACGUUAUGGUGUGAUUUUGUUUUUACGUCCUACUUUGCUUUGCCAGCUAGAGUGUGAGUAAGCCUACCAACAGCGGAGUGAUGGCGAUAAGUGUUGCAUUCCCAACGGUCAUCCAAAGCAGUAAAUUCGCUGACAAGGAGCGCUCACUGUCUGCCCUUGUAAAGUCAACAAGGCAAAUAUGAAGCUGGAAAUUUCCUGGGAAUGACUUGAUGCUUCCACGGUACAUCAAAGAGGGGCAAACAGCUGUAAGAUAAGUACGAGAUGGCCCAAAUCAAGACUGCAAAUCGAUAAGGACUUGCUUGACUUCCUGAGGCAGGCACUUAGCAGGUGAGAUACAUAGAGUAUGAGUGUGAGUUGGUCUGAAUCAUCAAGACAGCAAAACGAUGAGGACUUGACUGGAGGCAGAUAUAUUUCAGAACAUUAACAAAGAGACACCUGCAAAAACUUUGGAAGUGAGAAGAUAUGUCAAG